UACGUAGGGUGCAAGCGUUGUCCGGAAUUAUUGGGCGUAAAGAGCUCGUAGGCGGUUUGUCGCGUCUGCUGUGAAAACUGGAGGCUCACCCUCCAGCCUGCAGUGGGUACGGGCAAACUAGAGUGCGGUAGGGGAGAUUGGAAUUCCUGGUGUAGCGGUGGAAUGCGCAGAUAUCAGGAGGAAUACCGGUGGCGAAGGCGGCAUCCUGGACCAAUACUGACGCUGAGGCGCGAAAGCUAGGGGAGCAAACGGG
RNAcentral lists this ribosomal RNA (253 nucleotides) under uncultured bacterium. Its description in RNAcentral is "partial 16S ribosomal RNA". It matches the Rfam family "Bacterial small subunit ribosomal RNA", at positions 524 to 776 of the family's 1533-position model. The record is from RNAcentral.